Molecule: transfer RNA, 84 nt
Filed under: Alcanivorax borkumensis SK2
Lineage: Bacteria; Pseudomonadati; Pseudomonadota; Gammaproteobacteria; Oceanospirillales; Alcanivoracaceae
Rfam family: tRNA
About the family: Transfer RNA (tRNA) molecules are approximately 80 nucleotides in length. Their secondary structure includes four short double-helical elements and three loops (D, anti-codon, and T loops).
Source: Rfam by way of RNAcentral
GCGGGUAUGGUGAAAUUGGUAGACACAACAGACUUAAAAUCUGUCGACCGUUAGGUCAUGCCGGUUCAAGUCCGGCUACCCGCA